This 497-nucleotide ribosomal RNA is filed under the name uncultured bacterium. RNAcentral describes it as "partial 16S ribosomal RNA". It matches the Rfam family "Bacterial small subunit ribosomal RNA", at positions 28 to 507 of the family's 1533-position model. The record is from RNAcentral.
GAUGAACGCUGGCGGCGUGCCUAAUACAUGCAAGUCGAGCGAACGGACGAGAAGCUUGCUUCUCUGAUGUUAGCGGCGGACGGGUGAGUAACACGUGGAUAACCUACCUAUAAGACUGGGAUAACUUCGGGAAACCGGAGCUAAUACCGGAUAAUAUUUUGAACCGCAUGGUUCAAAAGUGAAAGACGGUCUUGCUGUCACUUAUAGAUGGAUCCGCGCUGCAUUAGCUAGUUGGUAAGGUAACGGCUUACCAAGGCAACGAUGCAUAGCCGACCUGAGAGAGUGAUCGGCCACACUGGAACUGAGACACGGUCCAGACUCCUACGGGAGGCAGCAGUAGGGAAUCUUCCGCAAUGGGCGAAAGCCUGACGGAGCAACGCCGCGUGAGUGAUGAAGGUCUUCGGAUCGUAAAACUCCGUUAUUAGGGAAGAACAUAUGUGUAAGUAACUGUGCACAUCUUGACGGUACCUAAUCAGAAAGCCACGGCUAACUACGUG